Polypterus senegalus (gray bichir) is the source of this 243-nucleotide long non-coding RNA. RefSeq lists it as uncharacterized. The transcript has 4 exons. The record is from RefSeq and is a predicted model, not a curated record. Lineage: Eukaryota; Metazoa; Chordata; Cladistia; Polypteriformes; Polypteridae.
GAGACCUCAACCUCUGAGACAAUCACCAUGUUUGCUGUGAAAGCAGUUUGCCUCCUCACCACCGUCGCUCUGCUUGUUGCAAUGGUGGCUGCGGCCCCUCUGAGUGAGAACCGUUGUUCAAGGAUACCUUGGUUGGCGAUCAUGUGUGUCAAUCCAAAUUGAUGAAGAGACAUCAAGCAUCCACUGAAGACUACAAUCAGUAAAAAACCAAUGUAGUCAAAUUAAAUAAAGUAGUCAAACAUA